Molecule: ribosomal RNA, 253 nt
Filed under: uncultured bacterium
Lineage: Bacteria
Description: partial 16S ribosomal RNA
Rfam family: Bacterial small subunit ribosomal RNA
Source: RNAcentral
AACGUAGGUGGCGAGCGUUAUCCGGAUUUACUGGGCGUAAAGCGUGUGCAGGCGGGAUGGGAAGUGGAGUAUGAAAUCUCCGAGCUUAACUUGGAGGGGUUAUGCCAGACUGCCAUUCUAGAGUGCGAGAGAGGAAUGUGGAAUUCCGGGUGUAGCGGUGGAAUGCGUAGAGAUCCGGAAGAACACCGGAGGCGAAGGCGGCUGGCUGGGCCUGAUCUGACGCUGAGGUGCGAAAGCGUGGGGAGCGAACAGG